AUUGAACGCUGGCGGAAUGCUUUACACAUGCAAGUCGAGCGGCAGCGCGGGGGCAACCCUGGCGGCGAGCGGCGAACGGGUGAGUAAUGCAUCGGAACAUGUCCGGUUGUGGGGGAUAACCUGGCGAAAGCCAGGCUAAUACCGCAUGAGCUCGAGAGAGGAAAGCGGGGGACCGUAAGGCCUCGCGCGACCGGGUUGGCCGAUGUCCGAUUAGCUAGUUGGUGGGGUAAAGGCACCUAAGGCGAUGAUCGGUAGCUGGUCUGAGAGGAUGAUCAGCCACACUGGGACUGAGACACGGCCCAGA
This 304-nucleotide ribosomal RNA is filed under the name uncultured bacterium. RNAcentral's name for it is "bacterial SSU rRNA". It matches the Rfam family "Bacterial small subunit ribosomal RNA", at positions 29 to 335 of the family's 1533-position model. The record is from RNAcentral.